RNAcentral lists this ribosomal RNA (270 nucleotides) under uncultured archaeon. RNAcentral describes it as "partial 16S ribosomal RNA". It matches the Rfam family "Archaeal small subunit ribosomal RNA", at positions 477 to 747 of the family's 1478-position model. The record is from RNAcentral.
CAGCAGCCCGAGUGGUGGUCGUUUUUAUUGGGCCUAAAGCGUCCGUAGCCGGUCUAGUAAAUCUUUGGAUAAAUCGUACAGCUUAACUGUACGGCUCCCGGGGAGACUGCUAGACUUGGGACUGGGAGAGGUCGGAGAUACUCCAGGGGUAGGGGUGAAAUCUUGUAAUCCUUGGGGGACCACCAGUGGCGAAGGCGUCCGACUAGAACGGGUCCGACGGUAAGGGACGAAGCCCUGGGGCGCGAACCGGAUUAGAUACCCGGGUAGUCC